RNAcentral lists this ribosomal RNA (253 nucleotides) under uncultured bacterium. Its description in RNAcentral is "partial 16S ribosomal RNA". It matches the Rfam family "Bacterial small subunit ribosomal RNA", at positions 524 to 776 of the family's 1533-position model. The record is from RNAcentral.
UACGAAGGGGGCUAGCGUUGCUCGGAAUCACUGGGCGUAAAGGGUGCGUAGGCGGGUCUUUAAGUCAGAGGUGAAAUCCCAAGGCUCAACCUUGGAACUGCCUUUGAUACUGGGGAUCUUGAGUCCGGGAGAGGUGAGUGGAACUGCGAGUGUAGAGGUGAAAUUCGUAGAUAUUCGCAAGAACACCAGUGGCGAAGGCGGCUCACUGGCCCGGUACUGACGCUGAGACGCGAAAGCGUGGGGAGCAAACAGG